RNAcentral lists this ribosomal RNA (216 nucleotides) under Glomeromycotina sp. RNAcentral describes it as "partial small subunit ribosomal RNA". The stretch from base 40 to 216 matches the Rfam family "Eukaryotic small subunit ribosomal RNA", at positions 686 to 864 of the family's 1831-position model. The record is from RNAcentral. Lineage: Eukaryota; Fungi; Glomeromycota.
GGGUCAGUAGGUUGGUCGUGCCACCGGUACGUACUGGUCUCACUGAUUACUCCUUCCUGAAGAACCGUAAUGCCAUUAAUUUGGUGUUGCGGGGAAACAGGACUUUUAAUUUGAAAAAAUUAGAGUGUUUAAAGCAAGCUAACGCUUGAAUACAUUAGCAUGGAAUAAUGAAAUAGGACGAUCGAUCCUAUUUUGUUGGUUUCUAGGAUUGACGUA